GCCUUCGUGGUGUAGUGGUCAGCACGCUAGGCGCGUAACCGAGAGGUCCGUGGUUCGAUUCCUGGCAAGGGCU
Stegodyphus mimosarum is the source of this 73-nucleotide non-coding RNA. Lineage: Eukaryota; Metazoa; Arthropoda; Arachnida; Araneae; Eresidae. The record is from Rfam.